AUCCUCUCAAGAUCACACCCGGGGAGUUUUCAAAACUCUGCCAGUCUCAGCUCUGGGAGGGAGAGGCAAGCAGAGGCCAACCCCUUCCAUUCCUAGCUUGGUCAGUGGCUAGCGAGUGAAAGGCAAUCUGCAACAAGU
This is a small nucleolar RNA of Ornithorhynchus anatinus (platypus), 138 nucleotides long. The record is from RefSeq and is a predicted model, not a curated record. Lineage: Eukaryota; Metazoa; Chordata; Mammalia; Monotremata; Ornithorhynchidae.